AAUCACUAUACAUGCGUUAUAACAAGGUGAUAGUAAUUCAGUGAAUAGAGCUUGUACAGGGCAUAAACACCUCUUUGACCAAUAAUCGAUGUGUAUUGGUUGAAUAACAAAACGACCCUUAUUUAUUGUUACCCUGGCAACCCGCCGUGUUUGAUUGACGUUUGAUUUAAUAAUUCUGAUACAACUCAUAAUUCUAAUCUAAUAGAAACUCCAAAACCUCAGACAAAGAGGACUAGAAUUUUACAUAAAAAGCCGCGUUCUGCAGUACAAAAGUUAGAAUAGGCAUCUCAAAUAGUGGAAAGUGCCAAACUCCGCAUCACGGUAGUGUUCCAGUGUUUGCAGGAAGAGCACGAAACAAAACAAAGGCAGAUGGCUGAAAUACAUGAGCUCAAACAGAAGCAACUUGCCGAAGCUCACGAAAGGGCUAGACAGGAGCAUCUUCUAAGGCUCAAAUUGUUACAGCAGCAAUUAAAUGAAUAAUUAUAUACUUAUAAAAAAAAUAAAACCCCUGUUUUAAAUGAAA
Molecule: long non-coding RNA, 523 nt
Organism: Pieris napi
Lineage: Eukaryota; Metazoa; Arthropoda; Insecta; Lepidoptera; Pieridae
Exons: 3
Source: RefSeq, a predicted model, not a curated record